ACAAACCCUGGACUGCGGUGAUAGGAGACUCUGGUAAAAAGAAAAACAUUUGAAGAAUGAGGGAGGGAAUUUAUUUUUUUAUUAUUGUUUUUACUGCUGUUUCAUCACACUGAGUCAGCACUUCUGGAGCCCUCACUUUGCACAAGAGGGAAGAGAGAAAAAAAAAAAGAGAGAGAACUUGCUUUGGGUUUUGCAGAGCAAAUCCUGAGGCCCCAGCUGCAGGGCUGGGAACAUCAAGCAGCACAGCUUGAAGGCAGCAGCUCACGGGGCCUGGGGCAUCUGAAGCACGGCUCAGCCCUCACUGAGGCUCAGAACUGAAGAGCAGCUAUGGAAAGCUACCUUUAAGGAAAACGUUACCAUAAAGCUCCCAGAUGCUCAUCGCUGCAGUUUUAAAACGUCUUUCAGAUUUUCAUGUUGAUCCUAGGAAAUCAAAAGCAAGCUGAGCUCACAGCUCAAUCGCAUGGGAAGCUCAGAAUGCCCAGAAUUAGUCACAACACUCGCAUCUACUAAAGAGCAGGGGUUUCUAUCAAGUGUUUGUCAGUAAGGGAUUGAAGAACACAAGAGAGCACUAAGCCAACAAGGGAGAGGAGCAAUUUCAGGCUUCCAGGUCAACCCACACUCCCUCAGCCCAGCAGCUGUCAGUACCCACAGCCUCCUGCUGGAGGACAAGCAGCCCCCAAGUAGCAGUACUUUGGUUAAACCUGCUUUGUCCCAGCUCCAAAGACACCCACUCACCUGGUUCACAGAGAAACUAAGAGGACCAGGUUUGAAAGCACAAGGGAAAAAAAAAAAAAGAAUCAGGUAGGGAAGGCCUGAACUCCAAAAGGCUAAGGAAGAGGUAGGUUCUUGUUUUAUAAGACAUUUGGCACAGAAAACUGAGGACAAAGAGAGAAGAAGCAGAUGAUGAAAUUUGAAGGUUCAUUACUAACAACUCAGAGCGUGCCUGCACACAGCUUGCUCCCACCGAGCACAGGAGCUCGUGGCAUGGCCGUGACCAUGCUCAUCCAGUGCAGGAUUUGCUGGUGCUGCUUCCCCCUCCGCCCUGCUGGAGCAGACCUCGGCAGCAAUUACAUUCUAACACUGCCACAGCUAAACCAAGCGUCCAUCACUAAGCUCUGUUUGACGUCAUGAGCUCAGGGAAAGACCAACAGAUUGAACAAAACCACUUCACUGCAGUUUGUUCCCAACAUAUUAAUGCUGGGAGUUUUCCAUAAAUGGAUAAGCAUACCAUGCAGUUUUUGUAACGGUACAUUUAUGAUUUCACCAUACAUCAUUUAGUAUUUCUUUGUGAAAUCAAGCAAGCAAAGAUCACGUCUGUCAGGAAAUUAAGUUUUGCUUAAUAAAUAAUACUGAAGUCGACAUGAGAUCUCUUACCAAUAUUGUAACUUGAGUCAUCUGCUCAGCUGUAGGUGACGGAGAGGAAUACAGCCCUGCAAACUGUCACAAAACAGUUUGGUGCAUCAGUAAAGUAUUAAAGUCAUCACACUGCUGCCAAUUAAAAUAAUGUGUUUUCAUUCAUAAUUAAAGAGGAGGCAUCAGCAAGGUGGGGGGAAAAAAAAAUGAGAAGACAGUGACUGCAAACAAAGCAAUGCAUGAAAAGUAAAGCUCUCCCACAACCUCUUUCAAUUAAACUAAUGAAGGAAUAAAAGGAAAAGUCAAGCUCCAGCUCCUCUAGACCCACAGUAACAUCACUGUAGAUGAGAAGGAAAGCAGCAAGGUGCUGAGCAGCAGCUCCUCCUGACCCCCACUACAGGGGCACACCAAGCAGGCCCCAGCACAGCACUCCAGGGGAGCAACCAUCAUUCUGUCUCACAGAGAAGCUGUGAUUAUCUGAAUGCUGAUCCCCAUGGUUAAAUUCUAAUGCAGCUACAACAUCUUCACACAUACACACGGGUACAUUCGCCCUUCUGUAUGUGUAUACAAAUACACACACAGCCUUGACCAAACAGGACGGUUAUCAGUAGCUCUUGGAGCCCUUGCCUGCAGGGACACAAAGCAGGCCGGGUUUACCCAGCUGCUACAUCUGAAUGCAAACCACUGCAGCAGAACUCAGAACGCUGACACUUGGCUGCUGCUUUAAGAUCUGCUGCUGUGGCUCUCAGCAAUACCUGCGUCAGAAACCACAAAGGAGCACAGGGAUCCAAGCUGAGGAGUAAAUUUAAUGAUGUAAGUAUACGAAUAGAAGUUUGAAACCCAAUCAGUGGAAGUAUCAGAGGUACAGGUAUCUUCCCUGGUAAUUACAAAUGAUCAUUUAUGCAUAAUGACAUAAAACGAAGAGGCCACGUUGAGCUGUAGCACAGGACAUAACAUGGAAGGUUCUCCUUCAGCCAGCUCAGAGAGACCAAAAAAAAAUCAGAGGCUAUUCACUCUUACCUUUGAACAUGGACCUCAAACCAGCCAAAUCGCAGCUUUACCAUUCCAGUGAAGCCACAGUCAACACCAAUUUGUAAUGCAACACCCCCAGGGAUUCCUCCGUCACCUCACUCUCAGUGAGAUUCAGCAGUACUCUCUAUGGAUAUAAUAAAUCCACUUUGAAACACAUCAGUACCUCAACACAGUGUUGAACAGAUGACUUGUGCUUGCCAAACUGCUAUUAUUCACCGCAGAUGAAAAAACAUCCAAUGCUAACUUAAUCUGAGCCCCAAAUAGGUUUCCAGAAGCAGCACCGUGCAUGAACUUAAUACUCAGAAUUUUGUUUCAUCAGCUCACGUUAAAGAUGAUAGGCACAGGGUGAGGAAAUGCAACACUGGGGCCAGCAGCAGGAUGCUGCAAUGCAACAUUACAACACAGAUCUCUGGACAGUUAUGCAUGUGACAGUAGAAAUGGAGAACGCAUACACCCCCCCAGGAGGAACAGAAGGAUCCCGUAUUGCAGCUCAGGCAUUUUACUCAAUACUACUGAAAUUUGGGCACCUGUUUUCUUGAGCAGCACUCACUCCCAGCACAGCGGUGCUCAGUGGGGCAGCCCCCAGCAGCACUUCCCACUCACCCUGAGCAGGAUGGUGCAGGACCCAGCACUCAUAGCCCUUCUUCAGGGCACAAGCACCCACGACCAAAAUGCUUGGAAAAAAAAAAAAUCAAGGCAUCAUUAAUGUGCACCAUACUGAACACUAAACGCCGUCAGCUCCAAGUUCUGCGCAGCCAGACUGGCAGGAUUUGAGAGAAGCAAGCGGGGAAGUUUUCAGCUUUUUGUAAGAAUGCUGUUGUGCUGACACCGGUCACACAGCACUGCCCAAACUGCUUGCUGUAGGUCUGCUGCACAGCAUCAGCCCCUUUUAGGCAACGUGCACAGAGAAAACUAAAACCACUUGUGAACACCACCCACAAGCGGGUCCUUCGCCUCUGUAUGAGGACGGCCCAGCGGUAAGAAGGACUGCUGUGUCCUUCCUUCAGACACACGGAGCCCUGACUCAAAGACUAGAUGUAGCUUCUAAAAAUUCAGAGCGCAACAAGUCAGAAAUGUGAGCACAGUCUCCUCUUUCUUGGGCAAUGCUUGCAGCAUAAUGCUGUCUCUUGUCUGAAGGAAAAAAGUGGCAGAGGGACAGCCAGGUUCCACCAGUGAGUGAGGUUUACAGGGCAGGCAGGGUUACAUACUCACACUAUUGCUUCUGUCUUGGAAGUCAUAAUUUAAAAGACAGCAGUGAUAUGAAAACAGAGCUCGUCCUAAGCUUAAAGCUUUAAUUUGCAUGCUUACGUGGGCUUUCCUGCAUUUGUUUUGUUAUUAAGGCUAGAAAAAAAUACAAUUAAAAACGCUAUUGAAAUGUUUCUUUAGGGAGAUGGUACACGAUGCCAUAAAUUCACAUGACACCGCAGCACAGGGAAAUCUCACAGAGAAGAAGGUUCUGGUAACAGGCGGUGACAAGACAGUGUUCUUCCAAAAUGCUGGUAUAGUUGGAUGAGACAAAGAUUUAAAAUAAUAAUUACUGACCUAUGGCUCGCAGACAAAAUAACUAUUGGCCAAGAAUUUGAUACCACAGAUUUAUAAUACGAAGACAAUGCCGAAGUGUGAGAAAUUAGCUGUUCAAACAUUCCCACCUUGGGAAAUGCUUCUUGCUGUUACUCUUUCCUAAUAAGCCCCCUGCACCUUACAGUGGCUCACAGUCCAGACUCUGAGCUCAUACCCAAGUCUCAACUACAUGGCAGAGAUCUUGCUUGCAAGAUGGAUCCUGGGAACUGCUAAGAAAUGCAGUCCAGGUUCCAGAGCACAGCUGAACAACUGUGUACAGGUCACUGUCAUGCUAAAGGACAGGCAUGCUGCAUCCCACCCUCAGCUCGCUCUGUCACGUUUUCUCAUUUCCUCCUUUACAGCAGCAGUGUCAAUGACCCAGUUUACUUCAGUUAGUGGGCAGAAAACCCAUCCACCAGGACAGGAGGGGCCUUAUGCUCUGCUCCCAGCAAACCUGGGCUGCCAACACAGCUGCAGAGUGCAGGGGAGAGGACCAAUUCCUGCAGAAGUGCCAGGCAGUCCCACCAGCUCAGCAUCCCCACAAAGCCUCCUACAGCCACCCUGUGGGUCACGUGUAACAUCAUCUACAGAAGAGUUUGCUGAAGGAAGCAUUACCAACACAAAUGGAAGCAGUAAGUUUAUUGACAGGAGGUCAGAAGCCUAACACAGGACUGCCAGCUUCCUUCCUACUUCAGAGGGAGUUUCUGUUCCUGUUUCCCACUUGCAACAAGCUGGAAAGCCCACUUCUACUUUGCCAAAUCAAGGCAGCCUAUCACUAGACUAAAUAACAAUACACAGAAUCCUGAAAGUGUAAAGCAAAUCAGAUUUCAGCAGUAUAUCACCCCCAGAUAACCCACAAUGUCUAACGGCCACAGACACGAACAGCCCUUUGUGACAGAAGCAUAAAAGUCCUCCCAGUGUCAAUGUCCAGCAGCAGAAGCUAUUCCAAGACCUCAUAACUCGGAACACACGGUGAAGGCAGACCUUGCUCUCCAGCUCCUGUAAAUGCAAACUGUCCAGGUGAAAACUAUUAUGGCAGCUCUGGAACUCUCUCUGAAGGAAUUCCGAUCUGGACAAAAGGUCAAACUGUAUGUGCCCACAACACAAGAAUUCUUUCUCAAGAGGACCAACAUUUAAGGCCAAUUAUUAAUCAGUGCAGGAUGGGACUGCUUAAGUGUCAACAUUUUAUAGCCUUUUUGUUCCCAAUUAAGAGAUAAUUCCUUAAGGCAGUUAUUUCUCACUAGUUCUGCUACAAUUUGAUGCUCUCUUAACAUGCUGAAAGAUAACCAAUAACUAGCAGAGCUAAGGAACCUAGAGAAAUCAGAUGUGGGAUGCCAGAUAGUUUGCACAUGCUUCCCUGAAUUAAGGCUAUUUUUAAAAUACUGUAUUAAAAUCAUCAAAAGGAGAAGAAAGAUGAAUCAUGGUUUCAUCAGACAGAGGAAAACCCUCUGUACUUAAAGCCUGAGAUCACUGGAACAAGAUGACCUCCUAGUUAUAGGAAUAGCUUGUCUGAGAAUACAAGCAUUAGCAAAGCAGCAUUAUGGCAACGGCAAGCCUUCUUACAAGAGGGGCCCUCAGUGCUCCUGCCAUCCUUUAUAGAUUUAUUCUGUAAUGUACUUCCCAAUGAAAACAAGUUUUUGCACAUAUGGGGGUAGAAACCCUGCAAACUGGAAGCUUAUCCAGAAUGUUCAGUCCUCAACAGCAUCCAGCUUCUUUACCACCGACAAGACCACCACAAGCCACUCUUCAAUGCUAAGAGACUCACUUCCACCUACACAUUAACAGCUCUUUGCACUCCCAGGAUGGGAUUACAAGCACACUCGUAUGCACAGCAUUAUGAGCUGGCACAAUGCCUGUCAUCGAUGCUGGAGGCAGCAGUAUGCCAUAGAUGCUCAGGUGACUGCUCCAAGACACCCAGCUGGUCUUACAUAAAGCGAUACAAGAAGCAGUUUUGUCAAAACGUAACUAAGUGCAUGACUCCACAGCAUGAGGAAAGACAGGCAUUAAAGGAAUUAAGUUCAAGAAAGAAUUCCAGGACUGCCUGAUAAUUUCUGGUUUCACUCCUACAGCUGUCACAGCUGCCAUUAAAAUGAAAAACCAGUUUUUCAGGAACAGUAACUGGAAGCAAGGAUAGGAAAAGUCAUCUUAGAGCAACACCACUUCCAACGCUCCCUGGAAAUCACUGAGAAACUGUGCCACCUUCAAGCACUAGAGCUUCGUCUGCUGCUCUCAGGAUGUUUUAGGGUUAGCUGAUGUAGAAGUUGUAUUAUCUUAUGAAAAGAACCAAACAGCUUCCUAGGGGAAAGCUGCAGGUAGCCGCUACCUGGUCACUGGCCUGGCCUCAGCAGACCGGCAUCCACAGCUGUGACCCUGCCACCCAUCAGCAAGAGAACCCACUGUCACUCUGCAGCAUUAGAAGUCUUCACUGACAGCAAUAUUCAGGAAACAGGAGUUGUUUCAAACUCCUACAAGCUAAAUUUACAGCCAUCUUAUCGUCACAGCUUAGAAUUUUGCUGUCUAGGUCAGGAGUUCAUCAAUAAAAUAUUGCAAGGCCCAUUUUUCUUUCUGUUGAGCCCCAAAUCCUUCAUUUGCUGUGAAGAUGAUCAAGAUGCAAGCUGCUGUCAUCUCUGCUCCUCACAGUCGGGAGUUUUGGGACGCAAAUCACCACUUUGGCCAACAGCUUGAGAAAGAUCCACAAAUAUUCUCUGCGUGAGCUUCCAGCAUGCUCUGACAACCCCACAGUGAAAGCAGCGAGGUUCUGUUUUAUAGUAACAGCCCAGCUACAAAAGCCUUGCUGACAACUGUACUGCGAGGCCAGAAAACCCCAGAACCACUGAGCGGGUCUUCUAAAGCCAGCUGCUGGGAACAGAAAAUAAAUACAUGGAAUUGGAUGGACAUGCAUCAGAACAGCAGCGGCUGAAAGGCAAGAGACUCAGGGAAGACUCUGUGCUCCCAGAGUCGUCUCACAGGAAGAGUGAGAGCUUGAUGUAUUCUGGAGAGAUUUAAUUAAGGAUUCUUACCAACACCCACACCAGUUUCUCAAAUUCCUUUAACCCACCAGCACUGAAUCAACAGGCAAAACGCUAAUGAAAUGGAACUAGAGUACUUCCCUGUGCUGGGAUGGUAACAGAACAAGAAGCCUAGAAAACAAAGCAAAGGAGAACAGAUGAGAGCCAGCUGCAGGCAGAGCUGUCCCUGCACGCACCCAGGGCACACAGAACACGAGGUACCAGGAGGCUGCUCCAGGCUGGGGCCUACUGGGCCAGCCCCACACAUCACACCUGUAAGAGGCUCAGAAAAUGGUUUUAAAAUGCUUGUUGUAUACUUAUAUGCCUGAAAAGGUACCUAAGCACCCCACACGGCACGUAACAGAUUCCUGUCUGUACACACAGAGAGGCAGUGCAGUCAUGCCACGGAUCUGGUUCUGGGGCCCUGCUUCCUUCAGAUGAAUCCCAACGAGCAGGAGCAGCAGGAUGGGAGGGAAGAGCCUCUUGUCUCUUUGCCUAACGACACACAGGAGAAAUACUGUGCUCUCCAAACACUUGCUUAGGACGUUCAGGUUCCACACCCCACUCUCGAGGCAUGCAGGAAGCCACAAGCCCAGCCCCUGCCCAACGGUAUUGCUGGCCCCGCUGCUCAGCCUCACAGCUCCAUCUCAGCAUGUCGGCUGAGGAGCAGCACCACUUCCUGAAGACACACGGAGACGCCUGAAGAGACCCACUCACUGCCACCCCAAAGCAAAGCCACCUUCUUCAUCCCCACCUUAUUUCCACCAAUCAAAUGGGCAGCUAGGUAGAAUCAUUAAAGUUCUAAAAAAACCCUCUAGGAUCAGCCCCCAAGUCCAACCACAGCCCAACCUGCCAUGCCCCUCAGUGCCACAUGCACCCUUCUCUUGUGGAGUCACCAUCCCUGGAGGUUUCCAAGGAUAGUGAAGAAGAUUUUCACCUUGUCGUGUGUCAUGUGGUGAGUCACCAAACCAAACCCUGAACUUUCUGCAAACAAUGCCAACACACGAGCCAUUGUCCGUGGAGUUAUUAGCGUGCUGUAAUUUGAUCUCUUUAAUGCAUACCUGCUCCAUACAGCAGACUUUGCAUUACAUGCAGGAAUUCAUGUGAGUCAUGGCACAGAGCAGUUGGGAACUCUGCACAGAGCAGCAAACUCAACUGGUUCUGGCUGACCACUGAGCAGGAUGGAACAGGCAGCAGAAAAGGGCUAGGGAGCAAACUCACACUGAACAACACUUCAAAUCCUGUGCAUGCAAUCCAAAAGCAUCACCUAGAAGCAAGAUCUGUACCCUCCCACUCGCACAAGGCCGGAGGUGAAGAUGCUCUAUACUCCAGUGCCAACAGGAGCAGAGGUGACAGCCCACUGAGAUGCAGGCUCUGCGCACCAAGGAACACGGCAGUAAUGCAACACCGCAGGCCUGGUUCAUAAAAUAGUACAGCUGUUAUAAUAUUAACUAAUCUCAAGAGCUCACACACCUACUUCAGGGCACUUUACAAUCAUAUUUCCACCUGAGUCUGUUUUGUUCCUGCCCCAGUAGUCCUCCCCAGAACCGCUUCCUACACUCACCCACAAGAUGGGUUAAUAUGGAAAUUGAUGCUAAAAACAAAGAAUAAAACCACCACCCAACAAACAGUCAUUAUUUGACUAACUCAUUUCAUAUUAAAUACUCUGUACAAGGGCAUUUUGUUAAGACAGAGCCGAAAUUUAAGGAGCAGCUAUUCAUUAAUGCCAUAAUGACACUUCAGAAAAGCCUGGGAUGUCCUCAGUCCUAAAACAGUACCCUGAAAUUUAUUUGCCUGGAGUCUCAAUCUGACUGCACUCAACAGGCCUUAGCUGUUAAGAAAGCUGGAAAAAAAAAUACUUAUUUCCUCAAACCACCAGCAAAGCUCCCUCACAGGUACUGCAGACAGACAACAGCUGCAGAGCAUGCACGCCAGACGCUCUGCUCUGUGAACACAGCACUUUGUCCAAGACUCAGAGUAACGGUAUUUGCAUCCGAGACAUAAAUAAUCAUAAGACUAAAUAUGAGCAACACUGGAAGAACAACAAAAACAAGCUCAAAACCCGGCCAAAAACAAACAAAAAACCCUAAGAGGCAUUCAGCCUCUUACAGCUGAGUAUUUACACAUGCACGUUUGGUUAAAAGUUGGUAGAUGCUCCAGUGUUGCAAGUAGGCUGCUCCAAAGUAAUGCCUCCUAUUUAUUUCCAUGGAAAGUACAACAGAUACAAAGAGCACAACAACACUGUUUGAUACAGCAAGUGCUCCACUACAACACACUCUUUUUCAACACGGUCACCACCAUGAGCUGUGCAUUUCUGCCAGCAAUGAACAAGAGCUGCAUGCUGUGCUCACACAAACCUGCCCCAGCAAACCCCCACUGUCACCGCUGCUCCAACACACCGCACACGGCCUCGCUGUGCUGACAUCCAGAAGUGUACUGAAACCCAUGCCGGAUCGAUGAGUGCUUCUGGCCAGGCCAAGAAGCAGACAAGCCAACCACAUUCCCCAAGUGAGGAAAACAACUGAAAAAACACAGAAAAACACCGCUAAUUGUAAGCAAGACUUCGCACUCCAUGAAGGAAUGAAUCAAUCCUGUGCUCAGCCACAACAGAUUAGCAAUGCCACGAUAAUUUCAUUAUCCAGAAGAGAUCUGCUGCCGCCAGCCCCAGGAAGGGGACACUAUGCACCACCUGCACCAGCCAGCAAAACCUGCAUCAACUGGACUCUACUGGGACUGUUAGAACCAGAGAUGGAGAAGCGUCCACCAAAGAGCAUCAUUAUACCCCAGCCAAAGACACCGAGAGCUGACAGCCACCAACGUGGCUUAUUUUUUCACAUGGCUGCGUGUAAAGUAUUCAUAAUCAUAUUACAAAGCUUAUAUUCUUGUAACUGCAAACAAUAACUGCUGUCAUGAGUACAGAAGCUCAAUCUGCAUGCGGCACGGAACUACCCAACCAGGAAUUUAUUAGCAGUAAAGUGCAAACACCUACAGAUACAUCUGCGAUCUCCUUCUCGACCCAGUGAUAACCAGUGCAGCAAUUUGAGAGGCCUCUCCCAACUCCUCCACAGUCGCAUGCAGAUUGGCCCAGGGCCCUGCAAGGCGAGGUGCUGAGGAUGCACAGCACUGGGCAGUGCAUUGAAGGACUGCCUGGGAGCCCCUUACAGAGGCACCAAAACACAGAAAAACUGGAUAUUUUACACUGUGUAACCACUGCUCUUCAGCUGGAGCUCCAGAACUGCUGCCCACUGACAAAGGUUUAGAAAGCACGGCCAUAAAAGUCUAUCAGAGAACUUAUCACUAACAAAAAACCAAGAGGGAAAAGCUAAGACAGAGGUUGAGUGGUAGGAAAUCACAGCAGGAGUCAGGUUUCCAUCAUCACUCUCUUCCAGUUUUGGAAGAGCCAACAUACAAACAAGUAAGGAAUUUUUAUGAAACACAAAGCAGCACAUGCAACUUCAUUCGAUACGAAUCUCUUUUUGAUGUUAAGAUAACUGCAAGAAUCUAGAUUUUGUAGCGAGUAUACAGUUCUGAUGACAUCAAACAACUGCUCAAGAACAACACUGUCAUCACCGUAUACUGCUACACAUGCAGUGCGAGCUGCAGAAACCAUAAAUUUGAGCAAAGCCCAACCCUCUGCUUCACCUAUGGAGUUUACAGAAAAUUAUUAAAAAGGAUGAAAAAAAACACUUCAAAAUAGGAGUUAUUUCUGGAAACAAGAAGCAGAUGUUCUCCUGUUUGGCUCAGCUGUGCUACAGUACAAGAGUGCCUUUGUUACGCUGUCAGCAAUAAUGUAUUUUAUUUAUUACAGCCAUUUUAUAAUGCCCAUCAAUGUACUAUUUGUGCACAAUUUAGAUUCAUGCAGAUCUAUUUCUCUGUGUAUGAGCUGUCAAGAAGCAUCACACGCACACUCCAAAUAGCAGACUCUACUAUGACACAAUUGUAUAAAUUAGGUUUUUUAUCCCCUUUCCAGUGUAUUAAUAAAGAGGGAACAGGAAGGGGAGGAGGAGUCAGUAUUGCCAAAUCAAGUUGAAUUAGCAUUAAUCACGAAUACCGAGACAAGACAUAGUGUAAAGUUAGGAAAAUACAAGAGCUUACAGUAUAAAAAAAAUAAACUCUGGCUCUUUGAAGCCCAAUAAAAGCAAAGUUUUUUCACCAUGCAAAGGAAACGUUGUCUAGAACAAAGCCACGAAGAACUGAGAGAUGCCUGCAUUGGGAAAGGGGUCCACUGGGGAUGGAGGAUAGCAUGCUCAUAGGAGUUAAAGGGGAAAAAGAAGGAAGAAAAAGAAGCAUAACUGUGUGUUAUUUUACCCUAUCAGCCACUGAGACUCUAUCUGCUGUAGGUAUUAAACCACUCCCCAACCAACCAACAUCACAGCCUUUGUAUGGAUCAGAUAAGGAAUUCUGGGCCUCCAAAAAAAAAAAAAAAUGAAGCCUUUAAUGAGAGCACACACGGUGCCAUGAACAUUUGCCCUUCCCUCCCAGCGCUUUGAACAAGCCAUUUCCUCCAAUUAAAAUACUCCCAAAUUGCUCAUUUAAUAUCCCCACCUGCGACACGAGGCACAAGAGUGGGGAUGUGCAAGACAACACUACAGCCCUGCAUGGAAACACAGAAAUCCCCUCAUUUCCCAAAUUCGAGUAGUUCCAAGGGGAAACAAAAAAUGCUACAGAGAGUAACAAAACAGCCCUCAAACCGUAUCCCUGAGCGUUUGCUAUAAUAGCAGGAUUUCAACAGAAUGAUCCCUUCCCAAGAAAUCAGCAAUUCUAACACACCAAGUAUCUGAGCAACGGCAACCAAAGAAAAAAAAAAAUCAAGUGUGUACAUGUCUAAUAUGCAUAAGUUAUGCACUUUCCCAAUUAGCAAACACUGGAAUGCUACCACAAUGCAGAAAACUUGCCCUAACAGACAUUUUUCUAAACAAAAAUAUUUGCUGCAUCGAUAAUUAAAAAUUUUAAUUGAGCACGCCAUCAAGAUAUUCUCCAAAAUGAGUUGUAAAAAGGUUUUAAUAUCUCCUCGCUUAGUUCCUUAGGACUCGCAAAGGAAAACAUUUUGUCAGGGUAAAGUCCUAAAAGUCAUACAGAGAAUCAUGGCACCCUUAUGCGAGCACUGACGUGGUG
Molecule: long non-coding RNA, 12068 nt
Organism: Numida meleagris (helmeted guineafowl)
Lineage: Eukaryota; Metazoa; Chordata; Aves; Galliformes; Numididae
Exons: 3
Source: RefSeq, a predicted model, not a curated record